Molecule: ribosomal RNA, 254 nt
Filed under: uncultured bacterium
Lineage: Bacteria
Description: partial 16S ribosomal RNA
Rfam family: Bacterial small subunit ribosomal RNA
Source: RNAcentral
UACGUAGGGUGCGAGCGUUGUCCGGAAUUAUUGGGCGUAAAGAGCUCGUAGGCGGUGUGUCACGUCGGCCGUGAAAACCUGCAGCUUAACUGUGGGCGUGCGGUCGAUACGGGCAUCACUGGAGUUCGGCAGGGGAGACUGGAAUUCCUGGUGUAGCGGUGAAAUGCGCAGAUAUCAGGAGGAACACCGGUGGCGAAGGCGGGUCUCUGGCCCGUAACUGACGCUGAGGAACGAAAGCGUGGGUAGCGAACAGG